UACAGAGGUGGCAAGCGUUGUUCGGAAUUACUGGGCGUAAAGGGCGCGUAGGCGGCCUUCUAAGUCAGACGUGAAAUCCCCCGGCUUAACCUGGGAACUGCGUCUGAUACUGGGAGGCUUGAGUAUGGGAGAGGGAUGUAGAAUUCCAGGUGUAGCGGUGAAAUGCGUAGAUAUCUGGAGGAAUACCGGUGGCGAAGGCGGCAUCCUGGGCCAUAACUGACGCUGAGGCGCGAAAGCUAGGGGAGCAAACGGG
RNAcentral lists this ribosomal RNA (253 nucleotides) under uncultured bacterium. RNAcentral describes it as "partial 16S ribosomal RNA". It matches the Rfam family "Bacterial small subunit ribosomal RNA", at positions 524 to 776 of the family's 1533-position model. The record is from RNAcentral.